Molecule: ribosomal RNA, 444 nt
Filed under: uncultured bacterium
Lineage: Bacteria
Description: bacterial SSU rRNA
Rfam family: Bacterial small subunit ribosomal RNA
Source: RNAcentral
CCAGACUCCUACGGGAGGCAGCAGUGGGGAAUAUUGCACAAUGGGGGAAACCCUGAUGCAGCGACGCCGCGUGAGUGAAGAAGUAUUUCGGUAUGUAAAGCUCUAUCAGCAGGGAAGAAAAUGACGGUACCUGAUUAAGAAGCCCCGGCUAACUACGUGCCAGCAGCCGCGGUAAUACGUAGGGGGCAAGCGUUAUCCGGAUUUACUGGGUGUAAAGGGAGCGUAGACGGUGAUGCAAGUCAGAAGUGAAAGCCCGGGGCUCAACUCCGGGACUGCUUUUGAAACUGUGUGACUGGAGUGCAGGAGAGGUAAGCGGAAUUCCUGGUGUAGCGGUGAAAUGCGUAGAUAUCAGGAGGAACACCAGUGGCGAAGGCGGCUUACUGGACUGUAACUGACGUUGAGGCUCGAAAGCGUGGGGAGCAAACAGGAUUAGAUACCCGAGUA